Molecule: ribosomal RNA, 486 nt
Filed under: uncultured bacterium
Lineage: Bacteria
Description: partial 16S ribosomal RNA
Rfam family: Bacterial small subunit ribosomal RNA
Source: RNAcentral
AUUGAACGCUGGCGGCAUGCUUUACACAUGCAAGUCGAGCGGCAGCGCGGGGGCAACCCUGGCGGCGAGCGGCGAACGGGUGAGUAAUGCAUCGGAACGUAUCCUCGAGUGGGGGAUAACCCAGCGAAAGUUGGGCUAAUACCGCAUGAGCUCUGAGGAGGAAAGCGGGGGACCUGCGAGGGCCUCGCGCUGGAGGAGCGGCCGAUGUCCGAUUAGCUAGUUGGUGGGGUAAAGGCUUACCAAGGCGACGAUCGGUAGCUGGUCUGAGAGGAUGAUCAGCCACACUGGGACUGAGACACGGCCCAGACUCCUACGGGAGGCAGCAGUGGGGAAUUUUGGACAAUGGGGGCAACCCUGAUCCAGCCAUGCCGCGUGAGUGAAGAAGGCCUGCGGGUUGUAAAGCUCUUUCGGACGGAACGAAAUGGGCGGGACUAAUACUCCUGUCUGAUGACGGUACCGUAAGAAGAAGCGCCGGCUAACUACGUG